UACGAAGGGUGCAAACGUUGCUCGGAAUUAUUGGGCGUAAAGCGCACGUAGGCGGCUUUGCAAGUCGGAUGUGAAAGCCCUCGGCUCAACCAAGGAAGUGCAUCCGAAACUGCAGAGCUUGAGUACUUAAGAGGAUCGCGGAAUUCCCGGUGUAGAGGUGAAAUUCGUAGAUAUCGGGAGGAACACCGGUGGCGAAGGCGGCGAUCUGGACGGUGACUGACGCUGAGACGCGAAAGCGUGGGGAGCGAACAGG
Molecule: ribosomal RNA, 253 nt
Filed under: uncultured bacterium
Lineage: Bacteria
Description: partial 16S ribosomal RNA
Rfam family: Bacterial small subunit ribosomal RNA
Source: RNAcentral